CUUUAAGGCUGAUGAAGUGCUUGGCAAAUAUCUCGUGGCUACUGACAGAAAUCAGAAAGUCAAGAGGAGAAAUCUCAAAUCCCAGCCCAUGGGCCAUGCUGACCUGAUUACAGACAGCCCUAUAAGGGUCUUGAAUGCUUUCUAACACAGUCCAUACGGGAUGCAGCCUCAAGGAGGAUUACCAAGAAAGGGAAGGGACGCAAAACUUUGCCACUUGAUCUAUACAAGGAACUGGAAAUGGUUCCCUUGAGAAAGGGAAACUAUGAAGAGACAUGAUUGCUGUGUUCAGUGCCAUAAUG
This is a non-coding RNA of Phascolarctos cinereus (koala), 299 nucleotides long. The record is from RefSeq and is a predicted model, not a curated record. Lineage: Eukaryota; Metazoa; Chordata; Mammalia; Diprotodontia; Phascolarctidae.